UACGGAGGGGCGUAGCGUUGUUCGGAAUUACUGGGCGGUAAAGACGCACGUAGGCGGAUCAGUCAGUCAGAGGUGAAAUCCCGGAGCUCAGCUUCGGAACUGCCUUUGAUACUGCUGAUCUAGAGUCCGGGAGAGGUGCAUGGAAUUCCGAGUGUAGAGGUGAAAUUCGUAGAUAUUCGGAGGAACACCAGAGGCGAAGGCGAUGCACUGGACCGGUACUGACGCUGAGGUGCGAAAGCGUGGGGGAGCAAACAGGAUUAGAUACCCCCGGUAGU
Molecule: ribosomal RNA, 275 nt
Filed under: uncultured bacterium
Lineage: Bacteria
Description: partial 16S ribosomal RNA
Rfam family: Bacterial small subunit ribosomal RNA
Source: RNAcentral